CCUACGGGUGGCAGCAGUGAGGAAUAUUGGUCAAUGGGCGAGAGCCUGAACCAGCCAAGCCGCGUGAGGGAGUACUGCCCUAUGGGUUGUAAACCUCUUUUGCCGGGGAGCAAAAGCUGGACGUGUCCGGCUGUGAGAGUACCGGAAGAAAAAGCAUCGGCUAACUCCGUGACAGCAGCCGCGGUAAUACGGAGGCUGCGAGUGUUAGCCGGAUUUAUUGGGUUAAAGGGGUGCGCAGGCGGAUUUUUAAGUCAGCGGUCAAAUCGUGGGGCUCAACCCCGUCCAGCCGUUGAAACUGGGGGUCUGGAGUGUGGGAGAGGUAUGCGGAAUGCGUGGUGUAGCGGUGAAAUGCGUAGAUAUCACGAGGAACACCAGUGGCGAAGGCGGCAUCCCGGUGCACAACUGACGCUCAGGCACGAAAGCGUGGGUAGCAAACAGGAUUAGAUACCCUUGUAGUC
This 458-nucleotide ribosomal RNA is filed under the name uncultured bacterium. RNAcentral describes it as "partial 16S ribosomal RNA". It matches the Rfam family "Bacterial small subunit ribosomal RNA", at positions 338 to 795 of the family's 1533-position model. The record is from RNAcentral.